AUGGUGAAGACUUCGGAGCCGGACUGGAAGACCCAUGCGCCGGCGUCCCUCUCGAAGAAGGCGGCGAUGAUGAGGAACUGGAUGACGCCGAAGAAGCAGCCAGCCGGACCACGAGAGGCAGUGGCCGAUGAGGUAGACGCACCCCAGCGUCCAGUUCUUGCCCUCCCCGGCCACGGCCGCCAGAAACGGCACCUCCUGCUGCAACGACGGCUUGUCGUCGCCGGUAGGGGCGAAGAUGGUGGGGCCUUGGUAGAGCGUGAUGACGGACGCGCCUGCGACGCACGCGAGCGUGCCCAGCACCUUGGCGACGCCGUCGCGGCGGUCGAGGCGCACCUUCUCGAUGCGGAGCGCGGCGGCCAUGCCGAAGGUGAUGGCCGGAACGGAGUUCUGGAUGGCGGAGGCGAAGGUGGGGGAGGUGUUGUCGAGGCCGAGGAGGUAGAAGCCCUGGUUGGCGGUGAUGCCGCAGAGGGCGAGGAAGAAGAAGUGGACGGCGAGGCCGAGGGUGAGCCUGGGUCGGUCCUUCUUCUCGAGGAAGUAGGCGAAGGGGACGAGGAGGAAGAGCGCGAUGAUGUUGCGGUAGACGGGGAAGACGAGCUUGCUGAUCCCCAUGUUGAGCGCGAGGCGGGACACGACGUGGAAGCCGGCGUAGCCGAACUGCAGCGCCAGCAUCGCCACGUGGAGCUGCGCCUUCUCCGGCAUCCCGCAGACCCGGCGAGCAUCCACCGCGUCCGCCAUGGCUGCACCCUCUCCUCACUUGAUCUCUCCCUAGAUCGAGAUAGAAGCUGCUGCUGGAGCGAGGUGGCGAUGAGAGACUAG
Molecule: ribosomal RNA, 816 nt
Filed under: Triticum aestivum (bread wheat)
Lineage: Eukaryota; Viridiplantae; Streptophyta; Magnoliopsida; Poales; Poaceae
Description: partial small subunit ribosomal RNA
Source: RNAcentral